Molecule: long non-coding RNA, 3159 nt
Filed under: Nicotiana benthamiana
Lineage: Eukaryota; Viridiplantae; Streptophyta; Magnoliopsida; Solanales; Solanaceae
Description: long non-coding RNA (NBEN_LNC005677)
Source: RNAcentral
GAAGAAACAACCAUAGAACGACAGUGGUAACUUACUUGUCGAAUUAUUGCACGCGCAUAGGUAGAAGACAAUAUGAAGUUUCCGUGGAAUCAUCGAUAAACAAACUUUUUUCACCACUAGCCUUAAAUAUCAAUAGAUGUAUAAAAGAACUCCUUGUAACAACAGGAGUAAUCCAAUCAGUUUUAUUCAUUAAAAACAAACCAAAACUACUUCCCAGUCAAGUAUCUACACUAACUAAAACUACUUCUCAGUGGCGGAGCCACCCUUACCCAAGGGGUGUUAAUCGACACCCUAUCGCCGGAAAAUAACACCAUAGUAGAUAGAUAUUUUAGAUAUGUUUUUCUUAAAAAUUGAAUAUUUACAAGGGGUUGACAACCCUUGACAUAAGACAAACUCUUAGUGCAAUGAUUAAGGGGUGUCAAAAAUUACAGAAGGUUGCAAGUUUCAUUCCCCAUAGUAGCAAUUUUUUUUGACACCCCUUUGUAUAAUUUCUGGCUCCGCCACUGCUACUUCUCUUUCGACAAACCAUAAAACCAGAACCAAAAGAGAUGGCCUCCUUCACAUAUUCAUUUGGCAGUCACUUCAUAAAUCGUGAAUCUGAUUUUAGUGGUCAAUGAAGUGAGACGAGAACCAUAAGGUCUCAAAUUCAAAUCUUAUCGAAAUCGCAUUCCGACCCCGAUAUCGCAUAAGUCAAUUAUGGGUCAAGCUUCUUCAUAUUUCCAACUUCAACUUUUUUCCAAUUUCCGCUAAAAUGGCUCAAAUUCUACGGACCACCAAAUCUGAAUCCAGACGCGCGCCUAAGUCCAAAAUCACCAUAAGAAGUUGUUGAGAUUAUCCGCAACCCAUUCCGGGUCCGUUUACCCAAAGUCCAAUUCCAAUCAGCUUUUCACCGUUCAAACUUCCAUAACUAAAUUCCUUCUUCCAAUUUGACUCUAAACCAUCCAUAAACUGAAUUCCACCAUGCACGCAAGUCGAUACUCAUAUUCUGAAGCUGUUCGAGACCUUACGCCGUUAAACGAAGCUUAAUUUCUCAAAACGACCGAUCGGGUCGUUACAUCCUCCCCCUCUUAAAACCAAUAUUCGUCCUUAAACGUGCUAAGAUUCGCCUUGAAAUCCUCAAGCAACUGAGUACACACUUCCAACAUACACCCGCGGGUGAUCCCACGUCACCCCAAUCCACAUAAGCAUGGCGACAACAUCUCAACUGAAAUUUAGCCUUUCUAGCAAUAUCAAAAAACCUUCAAGCCAGAAUUCUCACAGACUCAAACUAUAUUUGGAAAAUGCUAUCAAAUAAAAAGUAGGACAAGUCCUUGCUACUUGUAACACUGGAAAAGGUCAACUUUAAAAGUAUGGAGCAGUCAAAUAUAGAACACACAUAGAUUUAUCUCCAUAACACACUAUAAGAGAAUCAAUAUCUAACAGCAUCGCAAGUAGUGUGACAUAAGUCAUAUCCUAUAGUAUUCAAUUCCAUGCACAUCAUACAACAACAACUCAAUAUAAUCCCACUUAGUGGGGUUUGGGAAGGGUAGUGUGUACGCAGACCUUACCCCUACCCUGGGGUAGAGAGGCUGUUUUUAAAAUAUCUUUAAUCUUUAGCCACUGCUUUAAUAACUUUAACUUCCCGGACGAAACUACAAUUCUGCUCAUGUCCUUAACUUUUGAACUUAACUUCAGCACUUCAGAAAAACAUGUCAUUGAUUUUGAACUUGUAACUCUAAGUUUAGGACUUCAGAACUGCAUUUCCUUAACUUUUGAACUUGUAACUGUAAGUUCAUGACCAAGUGUCCUUAACUUUUGAGCUUGUUAGUCUAAGUCAACAACAACAACCCAGUAUAAUCCCACUUAGUGGGGUCUGGGAAGCGUAGUGUGUACGCAGACCUUACCCCUAUCCUUGGGUAGAGAGGCUGUUUCCAAAUAGACCCCCGUCAUCCUUCUCUCCAAGAAUUUCCCACCUUGCUCUUGGGAAAACUCGAACUCACAACCUCUCGAUUGGAAGUGGGGGUUGCUUACCAUCAGAGCAACCCCUCGGUUGGAGGUGGGGUUGCACAUCAUACUUUAGUGCAAAUCCUAGCUCCAAAAUAAGGCAGCCCCAUACUAGGGAAACAACAUAAAGACGGUUUCAUCAUUAGGGAUGUUGAAUUAUCAGAAGAAAAAAAUGCAAGGCUUUGAAAGUUGUUUGAAAAGACUUGAUUUCAUGAAGAACAUAAAUUAUUUAAGCUGAGUAAAAGACCUGACUCACAUGCUCUCCUUUUUGAACUUUUUACAAGUAUGACAGCAACAACAAUAACAACAAUUAUCCAAUAUAGUUCCAUAAAGUGGGGUCUGGGAGGGUAGAGCUGUUUCCAAUCGACUUAUUACAAGUAUGACCUUUUUUCUAAAUAUAUAAGAAAAGACAGAGUAGAAUGUUUGGGUGAAGUGAACAACGCUCAUAAGUGUAUAAAGUAGAGAUUAAAUAAAGAAAAAAUGCUCAUGUUCUACAAAUGAAAUACAUUGAAAAAUUUCUUAAAACUCAAUAUUUCAAAAGGAACAGAAUCCAUCUUCAAACUCAAAAUCCAAGUAAAUUCAACCUAAAAGAAGCCUUUUUAUACAAUUACUGAACUCAAGAUACCCAAUAUAAUAUCGAGCAUGCAAUCACAAUAACAACACCAAAAGGUCUAGAAUUUCAAAAAACGAAAAAAGAAAAAAACUUUCAGCUUACCUAAGAGAAAACUGAGAUAGGACCGUCAAGAUCGAGAAUUGAAAAAAUAUAGGAAUGAAACUUCAAAAACUUCGGACGGUUUGGAACAACGUACCCUCGUAAUGCUUUUCAAACUUCAUAUUUUCCUCAUUCCUUCUUUAGCUUCAGACCACUGUCGGUUCCUCUAGAUUGCAAAUGGGUCGGAAAAUUUGAGGUAAAAUUAGAGAAUACAUUUACCACAAAAAAAGGAAUUGAGAUUUGAACAUAUACUUGAUCGAAUCAAAAUUUGUAAUUAGGGUUUUUGAAUCUCUACCAUAUGGUUCAUAUUUUGUGAUUUGAGUAGAUAGAUUUGAGACAUUUGAGGUUUUCGACUGUAGAGAACAUUGAGAAUUUUACAGAGAAGAGGGAGCAAACAAGUGGUACUGCAGAAAGAAAUCGAGCAAAGAGACAUUUGAUAAGUUUGAGGUUUUUGAUUAAGAAAU